RNAcentral lists this transfer RNA (64 nucleotides) under Kroppcarcinus siderastreicola. RNAcentral's name for it is "tRNA-Tyr". The record is from RNAcentral. Lineage: Eukaryota; Metazoa; Arthropoda; Malacostraca; Decapoda; Cryptochiridae.
AUAAAGUGACUGAGGUAUAAGUGGUAGACUGUAAAUCUAUAUACGAGAUAAAACUCCUUUAUAA